This 253-nucleotide ribosomal RNA is filed under the name uncultured bacterium. RNAcentral's name for it is "partial 16S ribosomal RNA". It matches the Rfam family "Bacterial small subunit ribosomal RNA", at positions 524 to 776 of the family's 1533-position model. The record is from RNAcentral.
UACGUAGGGUGCGAGCGUUGUCCGGAAUUAUUGGGCGUAAAGGGCUCGUAGGCGGUCUGUUGCGUCGGUAGUGAAAACUCAGGGCUUAACCCUGAGCCUGCUUCCGAUACGGGCAGACUAGAGUGCGGUAGGGGAGACUGGAAUUCCUGGUGUAGCGGUGAAAUGCGCAGAUAUCAGGAGGAACACCGGUGGCGAAGGCGGGUCUCUGGGCCGUAACUGACGCUGAGGAGCGAAAGCGUGGGGAGCGAACAGG